ACGGAAGGCAGCAGUAGGGAAUUUUCGGCAAUGGGGGGAACCCUGACCGAGCAACGCCGCGUGAUCGAAGAAGUAUUUCGGUAUGUAAAGAUCUUUUAUUUGGGACGAAAAAACAAAUUGACGGUACCAAAUGAAUAAGCCCCGGCUAACUAUGUGCCAGCAGCCGCGGUAAUACAUAGGGGGCGAGCGUUAUCCGGAAUUAUUGGGCGUAAAGGGUGCGUAGGUGGCAAUGAAAGUCUUUGGUUAAAAUGCUAGGCUCAACCUAGUAGUGCUAAAGAAACUUCAUAGCUAGAGUAUGGUAGAGGUGAGUGGAACUCCAUGUGUAGCGGUAAAAUGCGUAAAUAUAUGGAAGAACACCAGUGGCGAAGGCGGCUCACUAGACCGAGACUGACACUGAGGCACGAAAGCGUGGGGAGCAAACAGGAUUAGAUACCCUGGUA
RNAcentral lists this ribosomal RNA (440 nucleotides) under uncultured Anaeroplasma sp. Its description in RNAcentral is "bacterial SSU rRNA". It matches the Rfam family "Bacterial small subunit ribosomal RNA", at positions 341 to 792 of the family's 1533-position model. The record is from RNAcentral. Lineage: Bacteria; Bacillati; Mycoplasmatota; Mollicutes; Anaeroplasmatales; Anaeroplasmataceae.